This is a long non-coding RNA of Homo sapiens (human), 1838 nucleotides long. Ensembl annotates it as cytoplasmic endogenous regulator of oxidative phosphorylation 1. Its record names the gene CEROX1. The record is from Ensembl. NCBI's taxonomy places the organism in Eukaryota, Metazoa, Chordata, Mammalia, Primates, Hominidae.
CUCUCUCUCUCUCUCACACACACACACACACACACAGCCCGUCUCGCGCCUGAGGUCUCGCCCGCAGGCCGGUGGCGCGGGGUCAGCUGCUGCCUGCGGUCCAGGACAGGGUCGGUUCCGCCGCGCAGCGCCCAGGCCCAGCUCGUCCAGAGUCUGCGGACAGCGCACGUCCAGAAGGAGCUGGUCCGUUACUAGAAAAGUCCAGAUGCAAAGUCGGGGGUCGUGCUGCCGCUUCCUGCCAGCGCACCGCACCCACCUGGGGCCGCCACCGACCGCACAGGACGCGCCUCCUACCCCCUGUUCUGGCCCGGCCGAGAGCUGGUGCCCCCAGCGGCCGCCCGCCCCCGUCCGCAGACCCCGGGGCCCUUGCUGCUUUGCAUUGGGAACAACCGGAGCCAGGCCCGGAGCUGAGGGGGCCAGGGCCUUUGGAGGAAGCAUUGGCCUCCAGGCUGAAGAGCAAGGGCCGUGUCACCUGCCCGGAGGGCGGUCUCAUCUCUGCAGCCAGACAUCGCCCACUCGGGCUCACAGUGCCAUCCGGGUGAGGACCUCCGUGGAGAGCUCUCUUUGCCAAAGAAAAGCAGUUGCAUUAGGUCUGCGAGCAGGCAGGGUGGCCUCUUCCUGGCUCCCCAUCCACCAAGGAAGCUUCAAGUCCCUGGGACACAGGCACUUUCCCACACAGGAUGGAGCCGGGCCACCCUCACAGCUCCUGCCCUGCAGACGCUGGCCUUGUGGAGGGAGGCAGGCAGCAGGAGCAGUGCUUUCUGGGCCUCUGUAGCCAGAGCUGGCCCUGCUGCAGCUUACGUCUGCCUGCAGCCCAGACGUCCUCCUGGUCCUCCUGAUGCCCCCGACCUCCACGGAGGACGAGCAUUUCCAGCCCAGCCCUCCCCAUCUUCACCUCGCACUCCCCUGACACACUGGGAGCCUCCUGAUCCGUGAACCCGCGCUGGCGGGAGUAGCUACUGACCGCUGGGGACCCCUGCCCAGGCUGUUCGCAUGUGGAAAGGAUUCAGGGAGCAGGCGAUGCCCAAAGCGUGGAGACCAGCACUGCUCUCUCCCCAGUGACAGGUGCACGCCCAGAUCACGGAUGUGUCGGGAACAGCUGUGCUCCUGCUGCUCAGCGUCCGUCACUCCAGGCUGGGAGCGGGUCCCCAAGCUUCUGGCUGGGCCUAUCCGUCUCCACUCUCAGUGUGGGGGUGGGGGGCGCCAACAGCACGCAUUUGCUCUCUGCACUUCUCGUCUGAUAAUGGGCAGAGGGUCCUUCUGCAGCCCCAAAACAUCCCUAGGCAGGAGCCCUGGGGCCCCAAGCAGCCAGGGAGGUGAGCACCAAGGACCUCCCAGAGAGCGUCACCUUCCGUCGAGGGAGGCCCAGCCUGGGGGCGGUGUCUGAGACUUGGAAUCAACGCUUCCGUUGGUGGCAGUAAAUCCUGUCCCUAACCCUGCAGUACAGCUGUGCCGUGUACAGGAGGGUGCUGUCUGACGCCAGACACCUGGACUACAGAUCGCAGCCUGAUUCCUGGUCAUUGCUCCACUGAACCCCAGACCCCAGCCUCGUUCUGGGCCCUCAUCCCCUAGAUCCAGGGACCCCAGCCCCAUUUCAGCCCUUGGGCCCUUGUAGGAUGCGAGGCCCUGGGCCCCAGCCCCCAGCCCAUCCGUGGCCCAGGCACUGGGGGGCUGAGGUCCUCUGAGAAGGGACACAGGGCCUGGGGGGCUCUCUCAGCCCAUCAGCAGGAGAGGACUGACUCCAGAAAAAUCAGCGUUUGUACCCACUCAGGCUGCCAAGACCUGUGUCCGUCCUUCCAAGCUCAACCUUCAGAGUUCAUGAGGCCCCUUGCCCAGAA